UCAAAGGCUCCAUUUGGGAUGGACACUGAAAGUCUCUCUUGCAAGAGAUGGAGAAGAGACUCAGUGUGACUAUGUUCCAGCAAAAUCCAAAACUGUAUCCUUUUAGAUCCACCUGAGUAAUGAUUAUCUUUUCAUGUUUUUCUGUGAAGCAGCUCACAAGACUGAAAAUUGACGUUCCCAUGUGAAAAGGUCCUGAUGAAGAGCUCAUGCUCGAAAUGUUGAUUCUCCCGCUCCUCGGAUGCUGCCUGACUGGCCGUGCUUUUCCAGUGCCACCCUUUUCAACUCCAUCCUCAAUGGGUUAAACAAUCAACUUAAAUCUUUUUGCGACAUUAGUGGGUGUCCAGACCACUCUGCUACUCAUAUGUAUUCUCUUGACCCUCUGAUGUUUAUAAUGUGUGGUAUGCCAUUCAUGUUGUUGCCACUCACUUCAGGAUGUCUGACACAAGUUGCACAUUUAUUUAUCCAGUCACCUCUCAACAGGGAUUGUUGUCAGGCAGUUGUAUUUACCUCUCCCCCAAGUCUGUCUUGUGGAUUUCUCAUAUUUUAAGGCAGUUAUUGCAAGGUUCAGAAGAGCUCAAUGUUUGACUAUAAAAACCCCUCAGCAUUCAAUCAUUCAAAAUGGUCUCAGCUCUUAACUUGUCACACCCAGUUGAAAAAUAAUUAUUUUUUGUAAAUGUUCAAAGCAAAAAUACACAUCUUUUUAACCCCUGUCCAGCUAAGUCAUCAUCACAAGGUUGUCCUUUCUACAUUUCUUCAGCUUUUGUUGUUUUUUAAUCACCCAUUUGUCUAUCUCCCACGAGUGGGAAAGAACUGUCUACAAUAAAGGAUAAGUACAAAAGACACCACAAAACACAACAUGAAUUACUGUGACAGCAACUUUCUCAGAGGAAAAAAAUUACUUGAAGAGAAAACACUAAUAAAAAUUGUUAAAUGUAUAUGUACAAGUAAGGAGAAGGUUAUUUUGAAGUUUCACAUUAGUUGUUUUCCAGCCUUUGAGAAGGUUUUAAAGAUUAAGCUAUUAUUGUUCUGGUGAUGUUGCUGUGCAAAAGAAGCUGGUCUGGGAUUGGCUGAGUGGGCAGAGUUUCCUGCCUGGGGCCCUGAUCCUGUGGAAAGCCCUUUAGUGGCCUAUCACCUGCCUGACUGGCUCGUGACUCAGCUGAUCGUCCUCAAAGGUGACUAUGCAGGUUUUUUGCUGGCUCAGUGAGUACCAGGUUAAACCCUCAUCAUUUCAAAGGCUCACCUGAUAAACUCAAUUUGGUUCUUUAAAAUUAAGUUGCCCACAGGAAUGUGGGCUAUAAAUGCUUACUUUUAGCAUUAUCCUUGAAAUAACUCCACAGAGGCUGAUAUGUCAUCACACAUUCACCCUUUAUUUCCACAUGAACAGUCCAUGGGCUUAGGACUGCCACAUACAGAGUCAGCUACUAGAAUGUCAGUAUUAUUGAUGUUCAUCCUUUUAAUAUGUCAGCCAGAGCUCCCUGAUUGGAGGGCAUUAACAGUCCCUAUCAGGGAACCCAUUUUCUAUGGAGUCCAGCUGGCUAACCUUGUUAUGAUCACUACAAUAUCUAUUUGGAGCUGUGUUAAUCAAACAGUAACAGGUCAUCAUUCAAAGGGUACAGAGAGAAACUGGGAACGGGAUACUGGAAUUGCAUGAUUAGCACGAUCAUAUUGAAUGGUAGUACAGGCUUGAAGGGCCUAAUGGCCUACUCCUGCACUUAUUUUCAAUCUUGCA
Molecule: long non-coding RNA, 1729 nt
Organism: Hemiscyllium ocellatum (epaulette shark)
Lineage: Eukaryota; Metazoa; Chordata; Chondrichthyes; Orectolobiformes; Hemiscylliidae
Exons: 3
Source: RefSeq, a predicted model, not a curated record